AUUGAACGCUGGCGGCAGGCCUAACACAUGCAAGUCGAACGAGUGGCGGACGGGUGAGUAAUGUCUGGGAAACUGCCUGAUGGAGGGGAAUAACUACUGGAAACGGUAGCUAAUACCGCAUACCAUCGGAUGUUCCCAGAUGGGAUGAGCUAGGAGGUGGGGUAACGGCUCACCUAGGCGACGAGCCCUAGCUGGUCUGAGAGGAUGACCAGCCACACUGGAACUGAGACACGGUCCAGACUCCUACGGGAGGCAGCAGUGGGGAAUAUUGCACAAGGGGCGCAAGCCUGAUGCAGCCAUGCCGCGUGUAUGAAGAAGGCCUUCGGGUUGUAAAGCACUUUCAGCGUGGAGGCGUUACCCGCAGAAGAAGCACCGGCUAACUCCGUGCCAGCAGCCGCGGUAAUAC
This 406-nucleotide ribosomal RNA is filed under the name uncultured bacterium. RNAcentral describes it as "partial 16S ribosomal RNA". It matches the Rfam family "Bacterial small subunit ribosomal RNA", at positions 30 to 526 of the family's 1533-position model. The record is from RNAcentral.